GCACCGAAGCGAAAACGGCGCACUUAAAUAUGCUGCUUUUCCAGACUUUACAUGCCGCUACGACAAAGCGAACGCGCCUAAAUCCUGUGAACCAUGUCAGCUGCUGUGCUACACUGACGUUCGGCUGCGCAGUCUCCAGCGAGAAAACUCAACGCCAGUAAAUCGCUCAGAAACUGCCUACGAAAGCGGAUCAUGAUGCACAAUGUGGGCGUGCUCACCGGAACGACAGCUACUUGAUACAAGCACGCUGCUACCGCAGCAAAAAGAAAACACAGCCCCCC
Long non-coding RNA from Rhipicephalus microplus (southern cattle tick), 281 nucleotides. The record is from RefSeq and is a predicted model, not a curated record. Lineage: Eukaryota; Metazoa; Arthropoda; Arachnida; Ixodida; Ixodidae.